This 233-nucleotide ribosomal RNA is filed under the name uncultured bacterium. RNAcentral's name for it is "partial 16S ribosomal RNA". It matches the Rfam family "Bacterial small subunit ribosomal RNA", at positions 794 to 1030 of the family's 1533-position model. The record is from RNAcentral.
UCCUAGCCGUAAACGAUGUCCACUAGGUGUUGGGGGUCCUACCCCCUCAGUGCCGCAGCUAACGCAUUAAGUGGACCACCUGGGGAGUACGCUCGCAAGGGUGAAACUCAAAGGAAUUGACGGGGCCCGCACAAGCGGUGGAGCAUGUGGUUUAAUUCGAUGCAACGCGAAGAACCUUACCUGGGCUUGACAUGCAGACGACAGGUGUAGAGAUACACCCUCCUUCGGGCGUC